UUAGCCAGCUGUUGCUUGACCAUGCAAGUAGUAAUAAAGACCUACUUUUGGGGGGUGGGCAUGUGACCUUUGACCUCAUGCACGUGCAAGAGGGCGUGUACAGGCAUUUUGAGGUCAUGCCCGGAAAUGCGUCAUUUUACGAGUGGAAAAGGAAAUAUGUCAUUUUUGGGGCGUGAUUUGUAGGGGGCGUGCACUGUUUAAGCAUAAAUACGCCAUUUUGACUGACGUGCAUGGUUUUGAUUGGAAAUUUGCCAUUUCAGGGGUUGUUUUAUGCGAUGGGCGUUAGUUUUGACCAGAAACACGACACUGUAGGAGGGGUUUCAUCAUAUAUAUAUAUAUAUAUAUAUAUAUGAGGUGUUAUUUGGCGCCUCGAUCGAACUUUCUUUUUGGACUCAUCCAUGGGGUUCACGCUCCAGGAUUCUUAGUGAAACAGCAGAGGCCUAUCCCAGUGUGGUCCCAGUGGCGGCGUCUUCUUCUUCUAUUCAAAGGUAUGAGAGGCCCCGCCACAAACCAGUGAGACACUGGUGCUUCUGUUCAGAUUCACCAUUAUCAGCUUAAUGCAUAUACUAGGGGGGCUAUCUUCUUAGGUUACAAAUUGUCUUCUGUUGGCUAACAGAGGAAAGCCCUCAGGAAAACAUACAUCUUAAGGUUUAACGAGGAACACAUAUGUCGACUUAGUGCAGCAUCAUGUGACACAGCACACAAGCCGGGGCCAACCCCCAAACGUCGUCUUCUGCUUCUCUUCAAUGGUAUGAGAGGCCCCUCCACAAAACAGUGAGACACUGGCGCUUCUGUUCAGAUUCACCAAUAACAGCUUAAUGCAUGAAUUAGGGGGCUAUCUUCUUCUUAGCCAACAGGACACACAUUGUAACCUAACAGGAAAAACCCUCAGGAAAACAUACAGUUUUAACGAGGAACACGGGUGUCGACAUAGUGCCGCAUAAUGUGACGCAGCACCCAAACGGUGCUAAACCCUAAAUGGCUUGAGAGCCCCCAGGGAUGGAGAAAAACAGUGUCCUUAUGUGGUAAACAGUGAGCAGUUUGUUUAGUUUUAAUCAACAUAUGAACCCCCACCCCCACUGAGACCCUGGUGUGUGAAAAACAGGAUCCUUAGUUAGUAAUGAUGUUGCCUUCGGGGGGUAUGGGUCUCCUAUAUAGAUACAGCCACGGUUCACUUCUUGACACCCUGGCAGACUGGUGCAUCCUCACAUUUAAGACAUUUCCAGUGAGAGCCAGAUGUACUACAAGGGGGGAGCAAUGGACCAGAUAUGUGGUAUUUACACCUUUUAGAAAUAGAUGACAGCUCGCAUCCUAUACAUGGGAGUCUUGAAAGGGAGCUGGCACAGAUUCGCCAUCUCGGGAAAAGCCAUCUGACCGUCGCUGUCAAACAGGGGUUGCAGACCUGUAUGCCCCUCCAGUGAAAAAAAAAAAGUACAUACGGUUGUCCAGUCUGAGAGCCCUUCUACAAGCAGGGAGCAGCUUGACCUGUCUACACCAACAAAGGACACAUGGUACUAUCUAGGAUGCUUGACUGACGAGGAAAUACUGCAGGUGGUCUGUGACUAUGAAAUAGAAGAGAGUACUACAGUAGAAGCAACAUCGGCAGAGUGUGUAACCCCAUUUCAACAAAACAGAGCAG
Non-coding RNA from Gasterosteus aculeatus aculeatus (three-spined stickleback), 1639 nucleotides. The record is from RefSeq and is a predicted model, not a curated record. NCBI's taxonomy places the organism in Eukaryota, Metazoa, Chordata, Actinopteri, Perciformes, Gasterosteidae.